Long non-coding RNA from Anopheles gambiae (African malaria mosquito), 3574 nucleotides. RefSeq lists it as uncharacterized. The record is from RefSeq and is a predicted model, not a curated record. The transcript is spliced from 7 exons. Lineage: Eukaryota; Metazoa; Arthropoda; Insecta; Diptera; Culicidae.
AUAGUCAAGGUAGGUGAUCUUAAUCAAACAUUUUAAGAAUUUCUUUCAUUCGCACAAUGAUUGAUGCAUCGAAAUGAAUGCAAUACCAGCAGUGUUCAGUUGAAUGGAGAUAAAACAUGUGGCUGCUGUAAACGGUUGCCUGAAGGAUGAAUAAUUCUACUCAUUGUAAUAGUCGGAAAAAUGGAUGCAACAGUAUCCUGUUGUUCCUAAUGCGAUCCAGAUGAAACAUACGCCAUGGUGAAGAAGGAAUCAAACUGAAACAUACGCCAUGGUGUGAAAGAAUCAAGUAAAAUGGCGCUAUCCUCACAUCGGUUCAUUCUGCUCAAUGAACGGACCAACGAAGAAAAUGGAUGCAACAGCAAAUCAUCACUGUUCCGGAAGAGAUUCUUAUGAGCCAUACACCAUGAUGUCAAAGGAAUCCAGAUGAUACUUGCGCCAUGGUGCAAAGGAAUUCCGAUGAUUCAAACGUCAAAUGGUGCUAUCCUCAAAUCGCUUUCUACUCAAUGAACGGACCAACGAAGAAAAUGUAAACCAUCACCGUUCCGGAUGAAACUCAGAUGAAACGUACACCGUAAAAGGGAUCCGGAUGAUACAUAUGCCGUAGUAGAAUCCUCAUAAUACAUGCGCCAUGGUGCAAAGGAAUCACUAUGAUUCAUGCGUCAAACGGUGCUUUUCUCAAAUCGUUUCGCUCGAAUCAAUGAACGGGCUAUCGAUGAAAAUAGUAAGUAAACGCCAUAUCCCUCCAUCAAGAAUCCAAACCCAUUUUUCCUGGAAUAGGUUGACAAUGUAGUAGUGGCACUGGGUCUCUAUCCUUUCCAACAAAGCUAAAUGAAAGGUUCAAUAGAAUGAGUGGAUUAAGCUAUUUAUUUACAUGCCAUUUAUUGAUAGGGAAGAAAGGGCUACAUGUAUCACAUUCUGGGAAUAGUUGAUGUACAGGAAAAGGAUUAUCGUCAUGAAGAAUAAAACAAAAAUAUCGUCUCUACAUGUUUUGUAUGAGUAUUGAAUUUACACCGUUUCGUUGAGUGGUGCUAUCACAAUUGAACUUGAAUUGAAACACUAUGUUCAUUCAUACCAUAUAUACCUUACCAUACCUUAUCAUACACUAGUGUUCAUAUGUAUCAUGUACACACAUCCGUUUUAUCAUGACCAUUAAUUGUAAAAUGCGAGUGAGGAAAGUAGCUACACAUUGCAUGUGGAAGUUAAGUUUGGUAAUGAAUUAAGCUACAUAUUUAAUUUUGUAUUUAAAACUGGCUUUUUGUCGUGAUAUUUUAUUUUAACAUCUUUGAAGUAUGAUACUUACACAGAACUGAUAAUAUAAUUUUCGGUUGUUGGCAGAAUUUUAGAGUAUGCAAUAGAAAUAUUCAGUACACACAUGAAUUGUGUUUGACACUCCUGGCGCUUUAAGCAUAUUACAAAUCAACAGUGUUUUUUUGUUGUUAUUAAACACAUAUAGUCAAGAUACUAGUAGUAGCAUUCAAAAAAGCAGAACGAGAACACAUGUAUUAGUUGUUUUAAAAUGUAUCAGAAAUACAUUUCCAUAAACUAUACACAUUGCUUUAAUGUCGGUGCGCAGUGACGCAGAAAGGCAGUGUGUAGUGUAUCAAUACACUAUUGGAGUAUUAGUAACCGCCACACUUCAAGGUUACACGAUUCUCGAUCGCUUAAAUGGUAAAGAGCUAAUGCGAUACGUGUAAAUGAUCUUCUAGACACAGAUUGGAUCGAACAUCCGUUUAGCUUAGCUUCCUUCCGUAUGCCAUUCGAUCAUAAUAUUUGUGCGAUCGAUAAUCAAAAAUAACUCAUUUGAAAAAGAAUAAGAAAGAUAUGCCGAAUUAGCUCGCUGAUCUUGAUCAAUACAGCGAUUCUUCUUUCAGCCCAUCAGAUAUAUCGUUCUGUUCGGUGAGACACGUUACGUUUAUGUAACCACGUUCUCUGUAGGUCAAGUUACAGUAGCCGUAUAUAAUUAAAUAUUUUAAUAAUGUUAAUAUAGUUGAUCACAUAUUAAACCAUAAUAGAGAGAGAGAGAGAGAGAGAAAGAGAGAGAGUGGUGCAACAAAUGCAAACGAGAUCAAUUUUCGUACUAUGUGAGUGUUGCUGUGUUGCUGUUAUUAGAGUACUGUCCUUUAUUAAUUAUUUCUUUCAAUAUUACCGUUGCUGUUGCUGUUGUUGUUUUAUGGUUUGUUAUAGAAAUUUGCUUGUGGACAUUAUUGGUCUAAUGCUGUACCAUCAUCAUCCUCGUUCAAUGAGCUUAGCCGUGUGAGAAGACGUGAAGUGUUUGAAUCUGCUCGCAGAGCAGUAUAUCAAAAGUGCGUCUACAGUAUGUGAAUGUGCAUGUUGCUCACCCAUUUCUAUUCCUGUUUUUUUGUUGUUGUUGCUCUUGUUCGCUUUUACACAAUUUUAAACAUCGACACGGUUGUGACCGAUAGAGGUAUAACGGGUGUGUUUGGAUGGAUAGGAAUACAAUAAAUUGUGAUAUUAGUAUUUUUAGCGUGACCAGCUCUGAUGCUUCCUGUGCACACAUGUUCAAAAAAAAGCACACAUUUGCUGCAAGCAAAACGCGCUGGUAUUUUUAGAAAUUUUAUCUUUUCCAUUCCGACUGUUGUCAGUAUUGAUUUUCCCUCUGGCUGGAACGCACCGAACAGGCGCGUUUGUGUAGCGCACUUGUGAACAAAGCAAAAAACCCGGGGACCUAACACCAAGUACUUUGUGUACAAUGAGCGAAACUAGAAAUUUGAUGACUACCUUUUUCAUCCUAAUUUUUCUACUUCUGCUACUGUAUCUCGUAUACGAAGGCUUCUAUCAGCCGGAAAUGUAAUUUAAACGGUCAUUUGUUAUUAUGUUCUAUACGUACUUUUACGGCUGCCCAACAAACUGCUGAUGAUUUGUCAAAAGACAAAACCAGUCAUACAAUUUAUUUGAAUUCUGAAUCUAAACUGACGCAAAAACGUUUGGUUUGUUGGUGAUUUUUGGGAUAUGGCUUUCACACCAGCGAAUCAAAAGUAAUAUAUCACGCGUGCACGCACACGCACUUUCAUAGAACUUUCUGUGGCACUACCUAGCACUACCAACCAACCGAACCCUAAGAUCACAAACUUCGCCAAAAAUGAUGGAACGCAUGACGAUGGUGGAUUCUCUGUUAAAACUUGACUUAAAUGUCAAGCUGGGAAACCACAUAGGGUCCAACUGUUUCCAACUCAUCAUCAACCAUUAUCCGCCCGAAUCGUUUAGCGGCAGCAGAAUGAAGAAGGACGAUAAAAUUACCAAGGAUAAAAUGAUGGACCGAAAAGUUAGACACCCUACUGCAUCGUUUUCUACCAAAUCCAUCAUUAUGAAUCUUGUAAUAGCAUUUUUUCUCUAUCUGCUGAGACGCACCAUAGGUCUGUAUUAUUAUACCUUUGCCCGAGCUAUACCCGUUCCACCGCUCAUACAACUGAACGUUAUGAUUAACUUUACCUUUUUUUUAGAAGCUGGUGGGAAAAGCGCCAUAACAAAGUAUAGUAAAUUUAUCAAAUAAAUUGCCCUUCUGUGCCGUUUGAAUGGAAUACCAAUAAAAUUGUUAUGCCAGUCGUUAGUCGUA